AGACGACUAGUUUUGUAAUGGGGGAAGGAGAGGGAGGUCUGACACAAAGACACGCAGAGAAGGCAGCCAUGUGAAGACAAGGCAAAGAUUGGAGUUCCUUAGCAAGAAACCAAGGAACACCCACGGUUGGCAGAAGCCACCAAAACCCAGGAGAGAGGCGUGGGAGAGACUCUCCUGUAGAGCCUCCAGUGGGAACCAACCCUGCCGCACCUUGACUUCAGACUUCUGGUCUCCAGAAUUGUGACGGAAUAAAUUUCUGUUGUUUUG
This 267-nucleotide long non-coding RNA is filed under the name Homo sapiens (human). Its description in RNAcentral is "non-protein coding lnc-CHD2-4:9". The record is from RNAcentral. Lineage: Eukaryota; Metazoa; Chordata; Mammalia; Primates; Hominidae.